GGAGGGGUGGCAGAGCGGUUGAUUGCACCGGUCUUGAAAACCGGAGACGCGCGAGCGUUCAUGGGUUCGAAUCCCAUCCCCUCCG
Molecule: transfer RNA, 85 nt
Filed under: Planctomycetia bacterium
Lineage: Bacteria; Pseudomonadati; Planctomycetota; Planctomycetia
Also listed under: 1 other name
Description: tRNA-Ser
Rfam family: tRNA
About the family: Transfer RNA (tRNA) molecules are approximately 80 nucleotides in length.
Source: RNAcentral